This is a long non-coding RNA of Corvus moneduloides (New Caledonian crow), 1098 nucleotides long. NCBI's taxonomy places the organism in Eukaryota, Metazoa, Chordata, Aves, Passeriformes, Corvidae. The record is from Ensembl.
AACAUAAACAUAUCUUUUUGAUAUAUUUCUUUAUUUUCUCCCAUUUCCUCUCACUAGGAAAAAACAAAGAACAGAAAUAGUCACUGACUUUGGAACAGAGAUGAGGAAAUAAGAGGGACAUUAACUGCCAUCAAAGAAGCAGAAAUCUGUGCAUGCUUGUAAACAGGAAGCUCUGAACUUAAACUGUACAUCACACUCAGAUAUCUUCUCUUGAAAUGUCUCCUCAGGACUUUUGUCAUCUCUGGAAGUAUUCUUUCACAUUUUACCAAGAUGAUUUCAGGAAAUGUCCAACAGUAGUAGUAACACGAAGGAACAGCUCUGUAAGUUCACUUUGCAAGACUAUGUGAACUGUCUUGGUUUCUUUCAAAUGCCUGUACAUCAUAUACCUGCUGGCAAUAAAGCUGUAAAUUAACAAGGGCUUACAGGUCUAAGAAGAGUUUUUGGACUUUUUACUUCUGAGGUUAUGAUGAUGGCUGCAUCAUAGCUAUUCCACUGCAUUCCAAUUACACUCAUCCCUCAGUGCAGUACGACACUGCACACUGUGCUAACACAGCAUGCCUGGCCAUCGGGCUGGAAACACUACCUGAAAGGACCAUUUUUCAGUGUGCAGAGCCUUCUACUGCUAAGGCACUCAUGCUGUGGCUAGGAGAUGUGAGCCAGCAUCGUGGUUUACAUCUCUGCAAGUUUUCCCUCCAAAAGUGAUGAUUGAACAGUUAAUUUUAGCUGAAAAAAAGUUCAAUAAAGAGUCAAAAAUAAUAAUGACCUUCAUAAAUAAAGCAGCGUGACUGAGAUGAGUAAUAUCUACUGCCUGACUACUGACUAGAUACUCCCAAACUACAAGCUAGCUAGUAAAAGAAAAAUAAAAGCAUAUACAGAACACUGUACAAGAGAGGCUAUCAGAACGAAACGUUUUAACUCUGUGCCACCUGUUUAAAUUGGUUUUGCAACCAUAAGAAUGAAUGGAAGCACCUCCGUAACCCCGGCGCUGGCCUUGCGACGCCAGGGCUGGCCGUGACUCCGCGGGGCGGUGCUGGGCAGCUCGGCCGCAGCCCUCAGUCCGGCCGCACCGCGAGCACUCCCAGGCCGGGGCCGCAGCGC